UACGUAGGGUGCAGGCGUCAAUCGGAAUUACUGGGCGUAAAGCGUGCGCAGGCGGCCUCUUAAGUCAGAUGUGAAAUCCCCGGGCUUAACCUGGGAACUGCGUUUGAAACUGGGAGGCUAGAGUGUGGAAGAGGGGGGUGGAAUUCCAGGUGUAGCAGUGAAAUGCGUAGAGAUCUGGAGGAACACCGAUGGCGAAGGCAGCCCCCUGGGCUGACACUGACGCUCAUGCACGAAAGCGUGGGGAGCAAACAGG
Molecule: ribosomal RNA, 253 nt
Filed under: uncultured bacterium
Lineage: Bacteria
Description: partial 16S ribosomal RNA
Rfam family: Bacterial small subunit ribosomal RNA
Source: RNAcentral